AGUGAACGCUGGCGGUAGGCCUAACACAUGCAAGUCGAACGGCAGCACAGUAAGAGCUUGCUCUUAUGGGUGGCGAGUGGCGGACGGGUGAGGAAUACAUCGGAAUCUACUCUGUCGUGGGGGAUAACGUAGGGAAACUUACGCUAAUACCGCAUACGACCUACGGGUGAAAGCAGGGGAUCUUCGGACCUUGCGCGAUUGAAUGAGCCGAUGUCGGAUUAGCUAGUUGGCGGGGUAAAGGCCCACCAAGGCGACGAUCCGUAGCUGGUCUGAGAGGAUGAUCAGCCACACUGGAACUGAGACACGGUCCAGACUCCUACGGGAGGCAGCAGUGGGGAAUAUUGGACAAUGGGCGCAAGCCUGAUCCAGCCAUACCGCGUGGGUGAAGAAGGCCUUCGGGUUGUAAAGCCCUUUUGUUGGGAAAAAAAUCCAGCUGGCUAAUACCCGGUUGGGAUGACGGUACCCAAAGAAUAAGCACCGGCUAACCUCGUGCCAGCAGCCGCGGUAAUACGAAGGGUGCAAGCGUUACUCGGAAUUACUGGGCGUAAAGCGUGCGUAGGUGGUCGUUUAAGUCCGUUGUGAAAGCCCUGGGCUCAACCUGGGAACUGCAGUGGAUACUGGGCGACUAGAGUGUGGUAGAGGGUAGCGGAAUUCCUGGUGUAGCAGUGAAAUGCGUAGAGAUCAGGAGGAACAUCCAUGGCGAAGGCAGCUAC
RNAcentral lists this ribosomal RNA (713 nucleotides) under uncultured Stenotrophomonas sp. Its description in RNAcentral is "bacterial SSU rRNA". It matches the Rfam family "Bacterial small subunit ribosomal RNA", at positions 28 to 728 of the family's 1533-position model. The record is from RNAcentral. Lineage: Bacteria; Pseudomonadati; Pseudomonadota; Gammaproteobacteria; Lysobacterales; Lysobacteraceae.